CUACGGGUUGCUGCAGUGAGGAAUAUUGGUCAAUGGGCGGAAGCCUGAACCAGCCAUCCCGCGUGGAGGAAGACGGCCCUAUGGGUUGUAAACUUCUUUUCAAGGGGAAGAAAAUUUCCGACGUGUCGGGAUUUGCCGGUACCUUUGGAAUAAGCUUCGGCUAACUCCGUGCCAGCAGCCGCGGUAAUACGGAGGAUGCGAGCGUUAUCCGGAUUUAUUGGGUUUAAAGGGUGCGUAGGCGGAUCGAUAAGUCGGCGGUGAAAUCCCAUGGCUCAACCAUGGAAUUGCCGUUGAAACUGUCGGUCUUGAAUUUGGUCAAGGUAGGCGGAAUGUGUAAUGUAGCGGUGAUAUGCUUAGAUAUUACACAGAACACCGAUUGCGAAGGCAGCUUACUGGAGCAAUAUUGACGCUGAGGCACGAAAGCGUGGGGAUCGAACAGGAUUAGAUACCCCAGUAGUC
This 459-nucleotide ribosomal RNA is filed under the name uncultured bacterium. RNAcentral's name for it is "partial 16S ribosomal RNA". It matches the Rfam family "Bacterial small subunit ribosomal RNA", at positions 339 to 795 of the family's 1533-position model. The record is from RNAcentral.